AGCGUAGGCGGACUUUUAAGUGAGAUGUGAAAUACCCGGGCUCAACUUGGGUGCUGCAUUUCAAACUGGAAGUCUAGAGUGCAGGAGAGGAGAAUGGAAUUCCUAGUGUAGCGGUGAAAUGCGUAGAGAUUAGGAAGAACACCAGUGGCGAAGGCGAUUCUCUGGACUGUAACUGACGCUGAGGCUUGAAGCGUGGGAGCAAACA
RNAcentral lists this ribosomal RNA (205 nucleotides) under uncultured bacterium. RNAcentral describes it as "partial 16S ribosomal RNA". It matches the Rfam family "Bacterial small subunit ribosomal RNA", at positions 568 to 774 of the family's 1533-position model. The record is from RNAcentral.